CCUANGGGUGGCUGCAGUUCGGAAUAUUGGGCAAUGGGCGCAAGCCUGACCCAGCGACGCCGCGUGGAGGAUGAAGGCCCUCUGGGUUGUAAACUUCUGUCACGGGUGAACAAAUCAGUUCGAGUUAACACCUCGGACUGUUGAGCUUAGCCUGGGAGGAAGCCCCCGCUAAUCACGUGCCAGCAGCGGCGGUAAUACGUGAGGGGCGAACGUUGUUCGGUGUCACUGGGCUUAAAGGGUGCGUAGGCGGCUGUGCAAGUAAGGUGUGAAAGCCCUCGGCUUACCCGGGGAACUGCGCCUUAAACUGCAUGGCUUGAGGGCCACAGGGGUUGGAGGAACUCCAGGUGUAGCGGUGAAAUGCGUAGAUAUCUGGGGGAAGGCCGGUAGCGAAGGCGUCCAACUGGGUGGUACCUGACGCUGAGGCACGAAAGCGUGGGGAGCAAACAGGAUUAGAUACCCUGNUANUC
Molecule: ribosomal RNA, 467 nt
Filed under: uncultured bacterium
Lineage: Bacteria
Description: bacterial SSU rRNA
Rfam family: Bacterial small subunit ribosomal RNA
Source: RNAcentral